UGGGGAAUUUUGGACAAUGGGCGAAAGCCUGAUCCAGCAAUGCCGCGUGUGUGAAGAAGGCCUUCGGGUUGUAAAGCACUUUUGUCCGGAAAGAAAUCCUUGGCUCUAAUACAGUCGGGGGAUGACGGUACCGGAAGAAUAAGCACCGGCUAACUACGUGCCAGCAGCCGCGGUAAUACGUAGGGUGCAAGCGUUAAUCGGAAUUACUGGGCGUAAAGCGUGCGCAGGCGGUUUGCUAAGACCGAUGUGAAAUCCCCGGGCUCAACCUGGGAACUGCAUUGGUGACUGGCAGGCUAGAGUAUGGCAGAGGGGGGUAGAAUUCCACGUGUAGCAGUGAAAUGCGUAGAGAUGUGGAGGAAUACCGAUGGCGAAGGCAGCCCCCUGGGCAAUACUGACGCUCAUGCACGAAAGCGUGGGGAGCAAACAGGAUUAGAUACCCUGGUAGUCCACGCCCUAAAACGAUGUCAACUAGUUGUUGGGGAUUCAUUUCCUUAGUAACGUAGCUAACGCGUGAAGUUGACCGCCGGGAGUACGGUCGCAAGAUUAAAACUCAAAUGAAUUGACGGGGUCAUAGCUGUUUCCU
This 583-nucleotide ribosomal RNA is filed under the name uncultured bacterium. RNAcentral describes it as "partial 16S ribosomal RNA". It matches the Rfam family "Bacterial small subunit ribosomal RNA", at positions 355 to 1375 of the family's 1533-position model. The record is from RNAcentral.